This 254-nucleotide ribosomal RNA is filed under the name uncultured bacterium. RNAcentral's name for it is "partial 16S ribosomal RNA". It matches the Rfam family "Bacterial small subunit ribosomal RNA", at positions 524 to 776 of the family's 1533-position model. The record is from RNAcentral.
UACGUAGGUGGCAAGCGUUGUCCGGAUUUACUGGGCGUAAAGGGCGUGCAGGCGGUUUGUUAAGUGCAGGGUGAAAGCUCCCGGCUCAACUGGGAGAGGUCCUUGCAUACUGGCGAACUCGAGGGAGGCAGAGGAAAGUGGAAUUCCCGGUGUAGUGGUGAUAUGCGUAGAUAUCGGGAGGAACACCUGUGGCGAAGGCGGCUUUCUGGGCCUUACCUGACGCUGGAGACGCGAAAGCGUGGGGAGCGAACCGG